AAUGGGGUCAACCCUGAUCCAGCCAUGCCGCGUGAGUGAAGAAGGCCUUCGGGUUGUAAAGCUCUUUCGGCCGGGAAGAAAUCGCAUGGGUGAAUACCCUGUGUGGAUGACGGUACCGGAACAAGAAGCACCGGCUAACUACGUGCCAGCAGCCGCGGUAAUACGUAGGGUGCGAGCGUUAAUCGGAAUUACUGGGCGUAAAGGGUGCGCAGGCGGUUAUGUAAGUCAGAUGUGAAAUCCCCGGGCUUAACCUGGGAACUGCGUUUGAAACUACAGGACUAGAGUGUGGCAGAGGGGGGUGGAACUCCGUGUGUAGCAGUGAAAUGCGUAGAGAUAUGGAAAAACAUCGAUGGCGAAGGCAGCCCCCUGGGUUAACACUGACGCUCAUGCACGAAAGCGUGGGGAGCAAA
Molecule: ribosomal RNA, 410 nt
Filed under: uncultured bacterium
Lineage: Bacteria
Description: bacterial SSU rRNA
Rfam family: Bacterial small subunit ribosomal RNA
Source: RNAcentral